CAAGUAGAGGGGCACAGUUUGUUCCCAUUGGAAUGCCGACAGUCUGUUGAAAAACACGUCCUCGGAACGUAACAAAUAUGUUGUCAAUCAAGAAAUCAAGCAUCUUGAUAAUAUCAGUAUCAGAAUUUUUUGUUCGAAUCAGAGUGAUCCUUUACAAAGUAGGAUUUAUCCCUCCCUAAGACAAGAUACUUGUAUCUACGUUGGCC
Molecule: long non-coding RNA, 206 nt
Filed under: Mytilus galloprovincialis (Mediterranean mussel)
Lineage: Eukaryota; Metazoa; Mollusca; Bivalvia; Mytilida; Mytilidae
Source: RNAcentral